RNAcentral lists this long non-coding RNA (450 nucleotides) under Homo sapiens (human). Its description in RNAcentral is "HSALNT0028650". Lineage: Eukaryota; Metazoa; Chordata; Mammalia; Primates; Hominidae. The record is from RNAcentral.
UAUGAGCUGUGACCACUCCAGCACCAUUCAUGUCAGGAAUACUUGGAUUGCACCUGUUGACUCCCCCCAGCCUACGUUUACAGGAAGAUUCUCACAUUCUCCCUUCCUGGUGAAAACUUAAUAAACAAGAUGGUAGUGUUUCUGUUUUGGUACAGAGGAGAAAUGAGAAUUAAUUAUCAGGGAAAAUUUUCUUUGGAAAGCAGAAGCUCUACAGUAGAGAAAAGGGAAGUUGUUUUGACUGUCAACAUCUCAGAAAGAAAGUGGUGGUAGCGUGUGAUUAUUCAGGGAUGUAGCCUCCAGGGUUGGAAAAUACUGGUCAGUUGAAUGCAGCUUUAGAGUGCUGCAAAAAAUACCCUCUGUGACUCCAAGCUUGGCUUUACAACAAGUCCUUUAAUCUCUAUUGUGAACUUGAUCUUUAUUUUCAUGUGUUAGAUAAAGUGAUGUUAGUUC